UUUGCAUAAUGGAUUAACUAUAUAUUUAUUAGAUCUACCAUCACGAAUUAGUUCUGAGCUAAAUAUAAUUACAAUAUUAGUUGGUUAGAUUAGGUGUGGCAAAACCUUACCCAAAAUUAUACUUAGAGGUGAUAGGCCUAUCAAAAACUAAGAUAUCUUGAUUUCAAUGAAAUGUAUUUAGUACAAUUAAUACAUUUAUUAAGUGUUUAGGCUUAAUAACAAUAUUAAAAUAUAUUCUACACAAUUAUUACGUUUUAAUAAAUAAAUAUAUAUAUAUAAAACAUACUAUACUUCUAUGGAAAUUAUAUAUAGUAAUUGGAUGCAAUUUAAUAAUAAUACAUGUAAAUAAUGUUGGUAUUAGUAUAUAUAUAAGUUUUUGUAAGGAACUCGGCAAAGUGGUCCUCAACUGUUUAUCAAAAACAUAACUAUGUGUAAUAUAUGCAUAGCGGUAUCUGCUCAAUGAUUAUAUUAAAUAGCCGCAGUAUACUGACUGUGCAAAGGUAGCAUAAUCAAUUGACUUGUAAUUGAAGUCUGGAAUGAAGGAAAGUAUGGGGAGCGACUGUCUUAUAAGAUUACGGGGAAUUUACUUAUGAAGUGAAAAUACUUCUUUAAACAUAAGGGACGAGAAGACCCUAGAAAUUUUAAGUAACAUAAAAUGAUAUUAAAUAAUUUUCGCUGGGGCGGCGGAGUAACAUUGAACUUACUCACACAAACUUGCGCCUUGUUUGGCAACUGAUAAAAUUACUCUAGGGAUAACAGCAUAAUAUUUAAAAGUUUGUGACCUCGAUGUUGGACUAGGACAUAAUAACCUAAAAGGUUUUUUAUAAUGCUCUGUUCGAGCAUAAACUCCUACAUGAUCUGAGU
This 864-nucleotide ribosomal RNA is filed under the name Euhadra quaesita. RNAcentral describes it as "partial 16S ribosomal RNA". Lineage: Eukaryota; Metazoa; Mollusca; Gastropoda; Stylommatophora; Camaenidae. The record is from RNAcentral.